CAAAGUCGUUUCUGGAUCGACUCUGGAUGUAGAAUUCCACCAUCCCCUCCAGGAAUCUACCAAGAGGCAGUCUUCCUGACCACUGAGGGAUUAUCACAACCAGACG
This is a long non-coding RNA of Thalassophryne amazonica, 106 nucleotides long. RefSeq lists it as uncharacterized. The record is from RefSeq and is a predicted model, not a curated record. NCBI's taxonomy places the organism in Eukaryota, Metazoa, Chordata, Actinopteri, Batrachoidiformes, Batrachoididae. The transcript has 3 exons.